AGUGAACGCUGGCGGUAGGCCUAACACAUGCAAGUCGAACGGCAGCACAGUAAGAGCUUGCUCUUACGGGUGGCGAGUGGCGGACGGGUGAGGAAUACAUCGGAAUCUACUUUUUCGUGGGGGAUAACGUAGGGAAACUUACGCUAAUACCGCAUACGACCUACGGGUGAAAGCAGGGGAUCUUCGGACCUUGCGCGAUUGAAUGAGCCGAUGUCGGAUUAGCUAGUUGGCGGGGUAAAGGCCCACCAAGGCGGCGAUCCGUAGCUGGUCUGAGAGGAUGAUCGGCCACACUGGAACGGAAACACGGUCCAGAGUCCUACGGGAGGCAGCAGUGGGGAAUAUUGGGCAAUGGGCGCAAGCCUGAUCCAGCCAUACCGCGUGGGUGAAGAAGGCCUUCGGGUUGUAAAGCCCUUUUGUUGGGAAAGAAAAGCAGCAGGUUAAUACCCCGCUGUUCUGACGGUACCCAAAGAAUAAGCACCGGCUAACUUCGUG
Molecule: ribosomal RNA, 492 nt
Filed under: uncultured bacterium
Lineage: Bacteria
Description: partial 16S ribosomal RNA
Rfam family: Bacterial small subunit ribosomal RNA
Source: RNAcentral